This 330-nucleotide long non-coding RNA is filed under the name Eucalyptus grandis. RNAcentral describes it as "long non-coding RNA (EGRA_LNC007483)". Lineage: Eukaryota; Viridiplantae; Streptophyta; Magnoliopsida; Myrtales; Myrtaceae. The record is from RNAcentral.
CGGCGGGAGCGAGUCAGCAGCUUCAGCCAUGUUUUGGAUGUCUCCGGAGCUCGAUGGGUCUUCGUUUAACUGCAAGAAAUGACCAAGAGAAGCGAUUUUUCGGUUGCUGGUGCUUAUCUCUUUUCGUGUGUAUACGCAUUACUUACGUGUACUAUCACAACAGUUGAAUUGUAUGACUCGGAGCAAUAAUUGGAUUGCACAUACGAGGAGUCCUGUGACUAUCAGAGAGACAGAGACAGAGAGAGAGAGAGAGAGCGGGGCUGACGAGAGUAAGAGGUAUUGAGUCUGAUCAUCGACGGCUAUUCUGACAGACAACGACAUAUAGAAAUG